AGAGUUUGAUCCUGGCUCAGGAUGAACGCUAGCGGCAGGCUUAAUACAUGCAAGUUGAACGUUCAGCAAUGGACGUGGCGCACGGGUGCGUAACGCGUAUGCAAUCUGGCUCAUACAGGGGGAUAACCAGUCGAAAGAUUGGCUAAUACCGCGUAACACAUUGAGGGGCAUCCCUUUAUGUUAAAAGAUUUAUUGGUAUGAGAUGAGCAUGCGUGCCAUUAGCUAGUUGGAGUGGUAACGGCACACCAAGGCUACGAUGGCUAGGGGAACUGAGAGGUUGGUCCCCCACACUGGUACUGAGAUACGGACCAGACUCCUACGGGAGGCAGCAGUAAGGAAUAUUGGUCAAUGGGCGGAAGCCUGAACCAGCCAUGCCGCGUGAAGGAAGAAGGUGCUCAGCAUCGUAAACUUCUUUUAUCAGGGAA
This 425-nucleotide ribosomal RNA is filed under the name uncultured Microscilla sp. RNAcentral describes it as "bacterial SSU rRNA". It matches the Rfam family "Bacterial small subunit ribosomal RNA", at positions 8 to 446 of the family's 1533-position model. The record is from RNAcentral. Lineage: Bacteria; Pseudomonadati; Bacteroidota; Cytophagia; Cytophagales; Microscillaceae.